This 465-nucleotide ribosomal RNA is filed under the name Vreelandella stevensii. RNAcentral describes it as "partial 16S ribosomal RNA". It matches the Rfam family "Bacterial small subunit ribosomal RNA", at positions 338 to 795 of the family's 1533-position model. The record is from RNAcentral. Lineage: Bacteria; Pseudomonadati; Pseudomonadota; Gammaproteobacteria; Oceanospirillales; Halomonadaceae.
CCUACGGGGGGCAGCAGUGGGGAAUAUUGGACAAUGGGGGCAACCCUGAUCCAGCCAUGCCGCGUGUGUGAAGAAGGCCCUCGGGUUGUAAAGCACUUUCAGUGAGGAAGAACGCCUGGUGGUUAAUACCCAUCAGGAAAGACAUCACUCACAGAAGAAGCACCGGCUAACUCCGUGCCAGCAGCCGCGGUAAUACGGAGGGUGCGAGCGUUAAUCGGAAUUACUGGGCGUAAAGCGCGCGUAGGUGGCUUGAUAAGCCGGUUGUGAAAGCCCCGGGCUCAACCUGGGAACGGCAUCCGGAACUGUCAAGCUAGAGUGCAGGAGAGGAAGGUAGAAUUCCCGGUGUAGCGGUGAAAUGCGUAGAGAUCGGGAGGAAUACCAGUGGCGAAGGCGGCCUUCUGGACUGACGCUGACACUGAGGUGCGAAAGCGUGGGUAGCAAACAGGAUUAGAUACCCCAGUAGUC